GCCAGCGUAGUGUAGUGAUUUGGACAUUGGAUUACGACUCCGGAGAACAGGGUUUGAAUCCCUGCUCAGCCA
This is a non-coding RNA of Phrynosoma platyrhinos (Desert horned lizard), 72 nucleotides long. NCBI's taxonomy places the organism in Eukaryota, Metazoa, Chordata, Lepidosauria, Squamata, Phrynosomatidae. The record is from the annotation of a GenBank genome assembly.